GGUACUUCUGAGAGAACAUGUUACAGGAAAGAAGUGGAGAUAAAUAUUUGGCAAAUUUGGGAUCAUGGCCUGGUAUCUAAGGGUCUGCUUCACACUCCGUCUCUCAGAAUACAGAUGCCUCAGGACCUUCCAGAACCUUCUGAAAGGGCUUCUAAGAAAACAGCGAGUACAAAACAUGAAAACAACUGCCCUCAGCUGCUCCUGGGGUCUCUGUAUUCCGACUGCAGCUGUGGAGAAUUGUUGUUGAAUUCCAUUCUCCAUGUUGCUCUAAAAGCAUUUCAAAGAGGUUCAGAGAAAGCCGGGUGCACUUUGAUUUUAGAAGAAGAAAAAAGAAAGAUGAAGAAGGAGCAGACACUUCUGUUUGCCAUAUACCUGCUUCUCAAGAACUACAUGAAGAAAACCUGGCUCACACAGAAAUGUACGAAGAGAGAGACAGGGGUGGCCUAUAUUAGGAACAGCGCUGGCCAGGCCACACAGCUCGGUCUCAUACUGCCCUCUGCAGUCUGACUGCAGUCUUCACAACCUACCCCGAGUGUCACAACGUGGGACAUCCUGCACACACGUCCAGUCCCUCGGGUAGAAUCACUGCCCACCUUUGGCCUGGAGACAAAAAGUAAAAUAAAAUAUUUAACUUGCUGCCUGAACAGAUGCAUUUACAGCCAUGAUUCGUCUCCCUGGAGCUGGUGGGCUUGGAAAGCACCCCUUUGGGCCUUCCAUUCAUUGCUUUCUUUUCUGCUAACAGGACCAAAUUAGGAAGACAAUAGUUUACCCAGAUUGGUAUGAUUUGCUCACCCAACGUCUCCCACCCCCUCUCCAUUCUACAAUACAGCAUGCGACCCCUGAAGAGGAGAAGGCAGAUGCUAUCUAGGUCAAAAACAUAUUGUAUGAAGAGAGAAAUAAUCCAAGGGAAAGAAAGAUGGAGUUCUGCGGACUCAAUCUAUUAUUCAAGAAGAAAAAUCCUUAACAGAUAUAUAUGCUGAAAGGAGACGGAGAACCUGUCCUAAAACGCA
RNAcentral lists this long non-coding RNA (1010 nucleotides) under Equus caballus (horse). RNAcentral describes it as "lncRNA (ENSECAG00000034574.3)". The record is from RNAcentral. Lineage: Eukaryota; Metazoa; Chordata; Mammalia; Perissodactyla; Equidae.